GACGAACUCUGGCGGCGUGCCUAAUACAUGCAAGUCGAGCGGACCGGAUUGGGGCUUGCCUUGAUUCGGUCAGCGGCGGACGGGUGAGUAACACGUGGGCAACCUGCCCGCAAGACCGGGAUAACUCCGGGAAACCGGAGCUAAUACCGGAUAACACCGAAGACCGCAUGGUCUUCGGUUGAAAGGCGGCCUUUGGGCUGUCACUUGCGGAUGGGCCCGCGGCGCAUUAGCUAGUUGGUGAGGUAACGGCUCACCAAGGCGACGAUGCGUAGCCGGCCUGAGAGGGUGACCGGCCACACUGGGACUGAGACACGGCCCAGACUCCUACGGGAGGCAGCAGUAGGGAAUCUUCCGCAAUGGGCGAAAGCCUGACGGAGCGACGCCGCGUGAGCGGAGAAGGCCUUCGGGUCGUAAGGCUCUGUUGUGAGGGACGAAGGAGCGCCGCUCGAAGAGGGCGGCGCGGUGACGGUACCUCACGAGAAAGCCCCGGCUAACUACGUGCCAGCCGCCGCCGUAA
This 517-nucleotide ribosomal RNA is filed under the name uncultured bacterium. Its description in RNAcentral is "partial 16S ribosomal RNA". It matches the Rfam family "Bacterial small subunit ribosomal RNA", at positions 28 to 523 of the family's 1533-position model. The record is from RNAcentral.